This 77-nucleotide transfer RNA is filed under the name Candidatus Dadabacteria bacterium. RNAcentral's name for it is "tRNA-Pro". It matches the Rfam family "tRNA". Rfam says of the family: Transfer RNA (tRNA) molecules are approximately 80 nucleotides in length. Their secondary structure includes four short double-helical elements and three loops (D, anti-codon, and T loops). Further hydrogen bonds mediate the characteristic L-shaped molecular structure. tRNAs have two regions of fundamental functional importance: the anti-codon, which is responsible for specific mRNA codon recognition, and the 3' end, to which the tRNAs corresponding amino acid is attached (by aminoacyl-tRNA synthetases). tRNAs cope with the degeneracy of the genetic code in two manners: having more than one tRNA (with a specific anti-codon) for a particular amino acid; and 'wobble' base-pairing, i.e. permitting non-standard base-pairing at the 3rd anti-codon position. The record is from RNAcentral. Lineage: Bacteria; Pseudomonadati; Thermodesulfobacteriota; Candidatus Dadabacteria.
CGGGGUGUAGCGCAGCUUGGUAGCGCACCGGCUUCGGGAGCCGGGGGUCACCGGUUCAAAUCCGGUCACCCCGACCA